UAACGUAGCGAAAGUUACGCUAAUACCGCAUACGAUCUACGGAUGAAAGCGGGGGACUCGCAAGAGCCUCGCGCGAUUGGAGCGGCCGAUAUCAGAUUAGGGUAGUUGGUGAGGUAAAGGCUCACCAAGCCGACGAUCUGUAGCUGGUCUGAGAGGACGACCAGCCACACUGGGACUGAGACACGGCCCAGACUCCUACGGGAGGCAGCAGUGGGGAAUUUUUGGACAAUGGGCGCAAGCCUGAUCCAGCAAUGCCGCGUGCAGGAUGAAGGCCUUCGGGUUGUAAACUGCUUUUGUACGGAACGAAACGGUGAGCUCUAAUACAGUUUGCUAAUGACGGUACCGUAAGAAUAAGCACCGGCUAACUACGUG
This 372-nucleotide ribosomal RNA is filed under the name uncultured bacterium. RNAcentral describes it as "bacterial SSU rRNA". It matches the Rfam family "Bacterial small subunit ribosomal RNA", at positions 144 to 507 of the family's 1533-position model. The record is from RNAcentral.